CAAUAUUCAAAUUAUUCUGUCAACUUUCUGUUGUAUGCUGCCUGUAACAAAGUGUUUCGAGAAAAAGCAAAAGAAAUAUUUGGAUUAAAACCGAAAGGAUUCAGAUACAAAAACAAAAGAAAGAAUAAUCAACGGUCUUCGUCGAUUUCUCAUAUGACGACAUCCAUCAACAAUUCAGUUAACAAACUGGUUUCUGAUACAUAUGAUGAUCAUUCAGACUAUUCAGAGGAUAUUCAAACUAAUGCUAAUGAAUAUGUUGAUAAAAAUCCUAAUUCUCAAACGGCCGUUUAAUUUGACACAUACCAACAUAUAUAAUUAUUGAUCAAACAUCAUUGUAACUUCA
This is a long non-coding RNA of Mytilus trossulus (common blue mussel), 343 nucleotides long. RefSeq lists it as uncharacterized. The record is from RefSeq and is a predicted model, not a curated record. NCBI's taxonomy places the organism in Eukaryota, Metazoa, Mollusca, Bivalvia, Mytilida, Mytilidae. The transcript is spliced from 2 exons.